Long non-coding RNA from Thalassophryne amazonica, 847 nucleotides. RefSeq lists it as uncharacterized. NCBI's taxonomy places the organism in Eukaryota, Metazoa, Chordata, Actinopteri, Batrachoidiformes, Batrachoididae. The transcript has 3 exons. The record is from RefSeq and is a predicted model, not a curated record.
GAUGGAAGUUGCCAGGAGGUGGACAGAACGUUCCCAGUUGUGCAACGAAAAUGUAACCUCCCAGCAACGUUGCAAGGACGUUCCGUGUUAGCUGGGAAUCAAUCAAACAGUCCACAAACACACCGAAAAGCAACAAAUUAGUUUUGCUGCAACAGUGAAAGCAUGUCCAUGAUUUUCAUUUUGACAAUUCUCAGGAAUAUUUAUUGAGAUUAUUGAAAUAUAGUGUUCUUACGGUAAGAAUGUUACUUUAACUCCGCGCACGCUGUUCGCGUGAUCGGUGAAGCUACAGCAUUUAAUCGGUGCAGCCGCUGAACUACUUCCUGAAUUUGUGUCAACAUAAAAGCCUUGUAAGAUUUUCAUACCCAAUUCCGUCUUACACUAGGUUUGUUUUAUUUCCGUUUGAUCAUAUAACGAUGGAUGACAAUCAGCAUAAUGAUUGACAUAACCAUUAACCAAUGAAAAUUGAGAGAGACAUGGGAUGGCCAAUCAGACUUCCAGGAGAGCGGGUCCUCCUGCUACCAUUGAAGAGCCGCCUCCCCGAACGGGCUCCUCAGCGACCACCAACCGGACAGAACGACGCUCUUUGACUGACAACAAGGCAACAAAUCUGCAUAUAAAGGCUCUGAACUGUUCCUGGGUGUCCAUGUCUACUCUCUGACCAGAGUUCUGUGGUGGAUAAAGUAGAUCAGCAGAUUAACAAUUCUCUACCUAUCACAUUACCAACACCGCUGAGAAGAACAGGAUGGGGGUAUGGUUUGGCGUGGAUACAGUCAUGUGCAUGGCAAAUCCGAAGACAUGCAGCUGUUGUUGGUGAUGAAAGAAGAAACUCCCCUGAACACCAGGAAUG